This 491-nucleotide ribosomal RNA is filed under the name uncultured bacterium. RNAcentral describes it as "partial 16S ribosomal RNA". It matches the Rfam family "Bacterial small subunit ribosomal RNA", at positions 29 to 506 of the family's 1533-position model. The record is from RNAcentral.
AGUGGACGCUGGCGGUAGGCCUAACACAUGCAAGUCGAACGGCAGCACAGUAAGAGCUUGCUCUUACGGGUGGCGAGUGGCGGACGGGUGAGGAAUACAUCGGAAUCUACUUUUUCGUGGGGGAUAACGUAGGGAAACUUACGCUAAUACCGCAUACGACCUACGGGUGAAAGCAGGGGAUCUUCGUACCUUGCGCGAUUGAAUGAGCCGAUGUCGGAUUAGCUAGUUGGCGGGGUAAAGGCCCACCAAGGCGACGAUCCGUAGCUGGUCUGAGAGGAUGAUCAGCCACACUGGAACUGAGACACGGUCCAGACUCCUACGGGAGGCAGCAGUGGGGAAUAUUGGACAAUGGGCGCAAGCCUGAUCCAGCCAUACCGCGUGGGUGAAGAAGGCCUUCGGGUUGUAAAGCCCUUUUGUUGGGAAAGAAAAGCAGCAGGUUAAUACCCCGCUGUUCUGACGGUACCCAAAGAAUAAGCACCGGCUAACUUCGU